UCAUGGCGAAAUGGGAUGAACCAUACGUCUGAAUAAGGUGCCGAAAUGUACUAUCACUGAUACCAUAAAGGGAGUCCAUGUAUUUAGACAGCAGGUCGGUGCCCCUAAAAGCAGGUAUCCGCUAAAGAGUGUGUUAAAACUCACCUGCCGAAUACUAGGGCCCCGAAAAUGAAUGGCGCAUAUAGUACUACCGAUCUCAGACAUCAGUUCUAUUGAACUGAGAGUAGGGGGAUGUGGACAUUUUUGUGAAGGUGCAAUGUGAGUUGGACUGGAAGAAUGUCUAUUACAGAUCCUAAUUGAAGUAGCGAUUAUCCAGGCUUGUAUCCUGGGGGCUGAUGAGGAGUAGGGUUUCUGGACAACUUAAACAGAUCCAGAGUUAGUCGAUCCUAAUCUCAAUAAUGGGAGAAAGGGAGUACAGUUGAUAUUCUGUAACUGACAACAGUUCGCGGCAACGCAUACUAUUUUUCUCCGCCAAUCUUAUACCGUUGGUAGGGAUCUCUUUCCUACAUGACAGUACUAAUACCCAGGGAAACUGGUCAUCAGGCGAACUGCGGCGUUCUGCUGGCAAAACAUAGCUUCGGUUAUGUCAAUGGCUAUUGGAUUGGUCCAUGAAGCGAAAAAUAGUUUACUGUGUCACUCGUACCGAUAACCGCAUCAGGUCUUCUAGGUAAGUAGCCUAUGGCCAUUGAGGCAUGAUAGUUCAGGGAAUUCGGCCAAUUAGAGCUGUAACUUCGGGAUAAAGCUUGGCUCUGAUGAAAAUCAGAACCGAUUGUUACGCGGAGAGCCCAACUGUUUAAUAAAAACGUAGUGUCGCGCUGUGGUAGUAUAGCCAGUGAACGCGACAUGAAUCCUGCUCAGUGCUGUGUCUGUUAAUAUGGUUCAAGCCAACGAAGCACCGGUAAAUAGCUGGGGUAACUAUGACUCUUAUCAAAGUAGCGAAAUACCUCGUCACUUAAUUAGUGACCUGCAUGAACGGAGCUAUGAAGUUCUCACUGUCCCAAACUGUCUCUCAGCGAACCACUGUAUGGACGUCACUAGAAAUCAGCGGGAAGAAGACCCUGUAAGCCUCACUUUGUCUAGUCUUGUAUAGUCCUGCGGGGGUGUA
This is a non-coding RNA of Trichomonas vaginalis G3, 1105 nucleotides long. NCBI's taxonomy places the organism in Eukaryota, Parabasalia, Trichomonadida, Trichomonadidae. The record is from Rfam.